This 253-nucleotide ribosomal RNA is filed under the name uncultured bacterium. Its description in RNAcentral is "partial 16S ribosomal RNA". It matches the Rfam family "Bacterial small subunit ribosomal RNA", at positions 524 to 776 of the family's 1533-position model. The record is from RNAcentral.
UACGUAGGGUCCGAGCGUUGUCCGGAAUUACUGGGCGUAAAGAGCUCGUAGGUGGUUUGUCGCGUUGUUCGUGAAAACUCACAGCUCAACUGUGGGCGUGCGGGCGAUACGGGCAGACUUGAGUACUGCAGGGGAGACUGGAAUUCCUGGUGUAGCGGUGGAAUGCGCAGAUAUCAGGAGGAACACCGGUGGCGAAGGCGGGUCGCUGGGCAUUUCCUGACGCUGAGGCGCGAAAGCGUGGGGAGCAAACGGG